Small nucleolar RNA from Cannabis sativa, 92 nucleotides. RefSeq annotates it as small nucleolar RNA snoR116. The record is from RefSeq and is a predicted model, not a curated record. NCBI's taxonomy places the organism in Eukaryota, Viridiplantae, Streptophyta, Magnoliopsida, Rosales, Cannabaceae. The transcript has a single exon.
UGGCAGUGAAGACUUAAUUUUUAUACCAUCAAACUUUGAAAGCUUGAAAAACUGAGCUUGUUGAUGCAAACACUUUUAUAAUCUCUGAGCCC